Molecule: ribosomal RNA, 458 nt
Filed under: uncultured bacterium
Lineage: Bacteria
Description: partial 16S ribosomal RNA
Rfam family: Bacterial small subunit ribosomal RNA
Source: RNAcentral
CCUACGGGUGGCAGCAGUGAGGAAUAUUGGUCAAUGGGCGAGAGCCUGAACCAGCCAAGUCGCGUGAGGGAGUACUGCCCUAUGGGUUGUAAACCUCUUUUGUCGGGGAGCAAAAGCCGGACGUGUCCGGCUGUGAGAGUACCAGAAGAAAAAGCAUCGGCUCACUCCGGUCCAGCAGCCGCGGUAAUACGAGGGGUGCGAGCGUUAACCGGAUUUAUUGGGGUUAAAGGGGGGUCAGGCGGGUUUUUACGUCGGCGGUCAAAUGGUGGGGCUUAACCGCAUCCAGCCGUUAAAAUUGGGGAUCUAGAGUGUGCGAGAGGUAUGCGGAAUGCGUGGUGUAGCGGUGAAAUGCAUAGAUAUCACGCAGAACCCCGAUUGCGAAGGCAGCAUACCGGUGCACAUCUGACGCUCAGGCACGAAAGCGUGGGUAUCGAACAGGAUUAGAUACCCCUGUAGUC